GUGUUUGCUUCAACAUACAUAACUAAAAUUGGAGCAGUACAGAGACGAUUAGCAGAGCCCUGCACAGGAGGACACUUGAGUCUGUGAAGCAUUCCACAGUUUU
Cricetulus griseus (Chinese hamster) is the source of this 103-nucleotide small nuclear RNA. NCBI's taxonomy places the organism in Eukaryota, Metazoa, Chordata, Mammalia, Rodentia, Cricetidae. The record is from Ensembl.